GACCUCCUAGGAAGUCCUCGUGUU
RNAcentral lists this small nuclear RNA (24 nucleotides) under Arabidopsis thaliana (thale cress). RNAcentral describes it as "snRNA_15689". The record is from RNAcentral. Lineage: Eukaryota; Viridiplantae; Streptophyta; Magnoliopsida; Brassicales; Brassicaceae.